Molecule: ribosomal RNA, 400 nt
Filed under: phytoplankton environmental sample
Lineage: Eukaryota
Description: partial small subunit ribosomal RNA
Rfam family: Eukaryotic small subunit ribosomal RNA
Source: RNAcentral
AGCUCCAAUAGCGUAUAUUAAAGUUGUUGCAGUUAAAAAGCUCGUAGUUGGAUUUCUGGCAGGAGUGACCGGUCACGCACUCUGUGCGUGAACUUGUGUUGUCUCUGGCCAUCCUUGGGGAGAUCCUGUUUGGCAUUAAGUUGUCGGGCAGGGGAUACCCAUCGUUUACUGUGAAAAAAUUAGAGUGUUUAAAGCAGGCUUAUGCCGUUGAAUAUAUUAGCAUGGAAUAAUAAGAUAGGACUUCGGAACUAUUUUGUUGGUUUGCGUUACGAAGUAAUGAUUAAUAGGGACAGUUGGGGGUAUUCGUAUUUCAUUGUCAGAGGUGAAAUUCUUGGAUUUCUGAAAGACGAACUACUGCGAAAGCAUUUACCAAGGAUGUUUUCAUUAAUCAAGAACGAAA